RNAcentral lists this long non-coding RNA (1752 nucleotides) under Homo sapiens (human). RNAcentral describes it as "PREDICTED lncRNA (TCONS_00226676)". Lineage: Eukaryota; Metazoa; Chordata; Mammalia; Primates; Hominidae. The record is from RNAcentral.
GCUCCCGCGACUCCGCUGCGGGUCUGCACACCCGAGGACUCGGUUUGAAACGCCCGCUUAUUUAUUUUCUUGUCGCCUCGCUACAAGAUUCUAUCCUUGUUUGGGCAUGAGUGGGGGGCGGCAGUCUCGUGGGACCGGCGGCAUUCGUCGUUCCUCCUUACGGGGAUAAUUCGAGAAGUGCGGUCCGGGGGUACUUAACCGAAACUAGCAAUCCCAGGCGGUACAAGGCCCUCCAUCGUAGGCAAAGCACUACCUGAAUGUAGAUUUGGGCCAUACGUUGGAAAAUAAGACAUGAGAGUAUGCUCCGAUCAACUUUUACUGUUCACUGGACAACUAUUUUGGGAAUUUGCAGACCUAUAAAGCCCAUCUAUAAAUCUCAAGCAUGUCCACUUUCAGAGAAGAGAAAUGCUGACAACCAUUUAGUCUCUGAGGACAACACUUUUAAAGUGUAACAAUGUGGCAUCCAGAGCUUAUCCAGAUGAGCGGAGAGCAAAUGAAUUUCCUUCUGCUCCCCUGUUGAAGAGGAGAGAAAAAUUCUUCAAGCUGACUCCAUCAUAGGACUGGAGAGAGAUUGGAUGUCAGAGUGAUUGAUGUGCUCCUACUGGAAGAAGGCAAACAUCCAUAUGUGAACUGCCUGUGGGGUUUCCAAGGAAAGGAACGGCAGGCAGCCUCUAUGAGCUUAAAGAAGAUAACUGGGACUUUAGUCCUAUAACCUCAAGGAACAGUAUUCUGUGAACCAUCUGAGAAGCUUGGAAGAGGACCCCAAACUCCAAAUAAGAAGCUCAGUGUGUCUGACACCUUGACUGCAGGCUUGGGAGGUCCUGAGCAGAAGAUCCAGUUCAACAGUGCCUGGACUCCUGAUCCACAAAAACUGAUAACAAAUAUUUAUUGUUUUAAGAUGCUAAGUUUGUAGUCAUUUUUUAUACAGCAACAGAAAACUAAACACACACAUAAACAGUUAUAAGUGCUCACUGUAUAUGAGGCUUUUCAUUAAUAAUCUAUAUUUUAUAAUAGAAUUAGAAUAUAGAUCUGUGAAGCUGAAGACACUCAAUCCUUGCUAGAUUUAAAUCAGGAAAAUCAGCUGAGAAUCAUUCCUUGAUAGAACCUGGAAAACAAGACCCUAUGAGAGACCCUGGGAAUUACAUUAAAUUCACUGUGGUUCCCAGUGUCACUGAAGAGGUUUUCCUUUCAUAGUCAGGUAGUCACCAUACUGUUAAGCAUUUGAACACAUGGGCAACUUCCAGAAUAGUUAUGACAUUGAUAUACCAAUCUCCAAAAUUCCUAGAAUACCAUGUUUUCAUGGUUGACCUUCAAAUCAGUCAGUUCUUUGUAACAUUGAGCCAUAAAGAUAGGGCAAAUACUUAAUGUUUUACAUAUAUUCAGAGAUUGACCCUCAAAAUACAGCCCAGAGAAACUCAAAAGAAUUAACUCUAUUUCUUCAAAUUGUGUGACGCCACCAAGGCCAGAUGACUUCAGCAUUGGGAAGGCAAUAUCCAGCUGUCAUCUUCUUGAUCCUCAUAUGCUACUACUAGCAUCUAGCAUUUACUGAGCAGAUAGUUUUAUUGUCCAGUUUUUAAAGAUAAGAAAAUUGAGGUAUUAGGAAAGUUAAGUUGGUUGCCUAGGGAAACACGAAGAUAUAGCCCAGAUUCACUCCCAGGCAGGCAGAUGCCAGUGUCUGCUCUCUUUACCACCGAAAUAUCCUGCUACAUGUACAAUUUCAAUAAAUAUCUGGACUUACUGGAACAAAACAAA